AGUGAACGCUGGCGGUAUGCCUAACACAUGCAAGUCGAACGGCAGCACAGUAAGAUCUUGCUCUUACGGGUGGCGAGUGGCGGACGGGUGAGAAAUACAUCGGAAUCUACUUUUUCUUGGGGGAUAACGUAGGGAAACUUACGCUACUACCGCAUACUACCUACGGGUGAAAGCAGAAGAUCUUCAGACCUUUCGCGAUUGAAUGAGCCGAUGUCGGAUUAGCUAGUUGGCUGGGUAAGGGCACACCAAGGCGACGAUCCGUAGCUGACCUGAGAGGAUGAUCAGCCACACUGGAACUGAGACACGGUCCAGACUCCUACGGGAGGCAGCAGUGGGGAAUCUUGGACAAUGGGCGCAAGCCUGAUGCAGCCACACCGCGUGGGUGAAGAAGGUCUUCGGGUUGUAAAGCUCUUUUGUUGGGAAAGAAAAGAAGCAGAUUAAUCCGCCGAUGUUCUGACGGUACCCAAAGAAUAAGCCACGGCUAACUUCGUG
This 492-nucleotide ribosomal RNA is filed under the name uncultured bacterium. RNAcentral describes it as "partial 16S ribosomal RNA". It matches the Rfam family "Bacterial small subunit ribosomal RNA", at positions 29 to 507 of the family's 1533-position model. The record is from RNAcentral.